UUGAACGCUGGCGGCAUGCCUUACACAUGCAAGUCGAACGGCAGCACGGGAGCAAUCCUAGUGGCGAGUGGCGAACGGGUGAGUAAUAUAUCGGAACGUGCCCAGUCGUGGGGGAUAACGUAGCGAAAGCUACGCUAAUACCGCAUACGAUCUAUGGAUGAAAGCGGGGGAUCGCAAGACCUCGCGCGAUUGGAGCGGCCGAUAUCAGAUUAGGUAGUUGGUGAGGUAAAGGCUCACCAAGCCGACGAUCUGUAGCUGGUCUGAGAGGACGACCAGCCACACUGGGACUGAGACACGGCCCAGACUCCUACGGGAGGCAGCAGUGGGGAAUUUUGGACAAUGGGCGCAAGCCUGAUCCAGCAAUGCCGCGUGCAGGAUGAAGGCCUUCGGGUUGUAAACUGCUUUUGUACGGAACGAAACGGUGAGCUCUAAUACAGUUUGCUAAUGACGGUACCGUAAGAAUAAGCACCGGCUAACUACGUG
Molecule: ribosomal RNA, 483 nt
Filed under: uncultured bacterium
Lineage: Bacteria
Description: bacterial SSU rRNA
Rfam family: Bacterial small subunit ribosomal RNA
Source: RNAcentral